UGGGGAAUAUUGGGCAAUGGGCGAAAGCCUGACCCAGCAACGCCGCGUGAAGGAAGAAGGCUUUCGGGUUGUAAACUUCUUUUCUCAGGGACGAACAGAUGACGGUACCUGAGGAAUAAGCCACGGCUAACUACGUGCCAGCAGCCGCGGUAAUACGUAGGUGGCAAGCGUUAUCCGGAUUUACUGGGUGUAAAGGGCGUGUAGGCGGGAAAGCAAGUCAGAUGUGAAAACCAUGGGCUCAACCUGUGGCCUGCAUUUGAAACUGUUUUUCUUGAGUACUGGAGAGGCAGACGGAAUUCCUAGUGUAGCGGUGAAACUGCGUAGAUAUUAGGAGGAACACCAGUGGCGAAGGCGGCUUACUGGACGGUAACUGACGUUGAGGCUCGAAAGCGUGGGGAGCAAACAGGAUUAGAUACCC
Molecule: ribosomal RNA, 418 nt
Filed under: uncultured bacterium
Lineage: Bacteria
Description: bacterial SSU rRNA
Rfam family: Bacterial small subunit ribosomal RNA
Source: RNAcentral